This 766-nucleotide ribosomal RNA is filed under the name Tropidophorus robinsoni. Its description in RNAcentral is "partial 16S rRNA". It matches the Rfam family "Bacterial large subunit ribosomal RNA", at positions 1605 to 2594 of the family's 2925-position model. Lineage: Eukaryota; Metazoa; Chordata; Lepidosauria; Squamata; Scincidae. The record is from RNAcentral.
ACUCCUAAUAAUACACUGAGCCACACUAUAAAAAUAGCCGAACUUAUGCUAAAACUAGUAACAAGAAAACUUCUCUACCACACACUCAUGCAUCAGUAAUAGAACGCCUGCUGAAAAUUAACAGACCACCCAACCCAAUAAAUAUUCAUAUUAAACAGACUGUCAUACCAACACCGGAGUGUUUUAAAGAAAGAUUAAAAGCUGUAGAAGGAACUCAGCAAGCCCUGUCCCAACUGUUUACCAAAAACAUAGCCUUUAGCAAUACAAGUAUUAAAGGUCCCGCCUGCCCAGUGAAACCCCUUCAACGGCCGCGGUAUUCUAACCGUGCAAAGGUAGCGUAAUCACUUGUCCCCUAAAUAGGGACCAGUAUGAACGGCUAAAUGAGGACAAACCUGUCUCCUACAACCAAUCAGUGAAACUGAUCUUCCAGUACAAAAGCUGAAAUACAUACAUAAGACGAGAAGACCCUGUGGAGCUUAAAAUUGACUACUACACCAACAUACCUAGUACAAAAUUUUAAGUUGGGGCGACUUCGGAAUAAAACAAAACUUCCGAGCACAGAACCAUAAAUUCUUGACAAGGCCCACAAGCCAAAACACAAACUGACCCAGUCAUACUGACCAACGAACCAAGUUACCCCAGGGAUAACAGCGCCAUCUUCUUCAAGAGCCCCUAUCGACAAGAAGGUUUACGACCUCGAUGUUGGAUCAGGACACCCAAAUGGUGCAGCCACUAUUAAAGGUUCGUUUGUUCAACGAUUAACAGU